Molecule: ribosomal RNA, 241 nt
Filed under: uncultured bacterium
Lineage: Bacteria
Description: partial 16S ribosomal RNA
Rfam family: Bacterial small subunit ribosomal RNA
Source: RNAcentral
GAUCAUGGCUCAGGAUGAACGCUAGCGGCAGGCUUAACACAUGCAAGUCGAGGGGCAGCGCGGGAUAGCAAUAUCCAGGCGGCGACCGGCGGAAGGGUGCGUAACUCGUGAGCGACAUGCCCGUUGCCCGGGGACAACCGGUGGAAACGCCGACUAAUCCCCGAUGGGAUAUUGUGCCGCAUGGCACGAUAUUGAAAGUUACGGCGGCGACGGAUUGGCUCGCGUCCGAUUAGCUUGUUGG